Molecule: transfer RNA, 63 nt
Filed under: Salpa fusiformis
Lineage: Eukaryota; Metazoa; Chordata; Thaliacea; Salpida; Salpidae
Description: tRNA-Val
Source: RNAcentral
AAAUUAUUAGUAUACACAGAGUACGUAGCUUUUACAAGGCUAAAGUCCCUACGGGAUGAUUUA